This is a non-coding RNA of Phalacrocorax carbo (great cormorant), 1009 nucleotides long. The record is from RefSeq and is a predicted model, not a curated record. NCBI's taxonomy places the organism in Eukaryota, Metazoa, Chordata, Aves, Suliformes, Phalacrocoracidae.
UUUCAUUUCUGAAUGUUCAGAAGCAGAACAUUGGAAAUCAAAAGAAUGAACGGGUUCAAGAGAAAAUCCCUAGCUUUUAGCACCUAAAUACUUGAAAAGUCUGGGAUCCCGCUCUGAAAGGAGGUGUUUGCUGACACGCUUUGCUUUCAGGGCAGCUCUGGAGCAAUGUGAUACAAGAAGUGACUCAGCUAAGCAAACUGAGUUUGUGUUGAACACAUGGCUAGCAGCUCUUCCAACUAUCAGGAUCCAUGUAAUUGCAGCAAAACAGUUAGCAUCAUAAAAAGAGCAACCAUGAACUGAUACAACAUACUUCCUUCUCACGGUGAAUUAGGAUGACGACCUGGAAUUCACUGCCGUUCUUCACCUAACCUAAGGCUUCAGUAUGGUAGACCUGGACCAUUGCUGUUGGGUCUUCCUGGUGAAACACUCAAGCUGCCUGAUGGAUUCAGCAGAUGGCUGCUCACCACCAUGCGUUUGAUUCCUUCCAGCAGUGUUCCUGUAAGACGCAUCACUGUGUUGUGCAGUGUAAAGGGGUUUUUUUGCUUGCAUUUAAAGACAAAAACAUCCCUACAUUGUGUAAUUUUUCCUUCGCCUGCUCUGUGCAGAUCUAUCCUAGACAGAAGGGCAGCUCCUCGGGCCCCACCAGGGUCCCAGGCAGCCACUGGGGAUCCCUGUUCUGGUCCGUUUGCGGCGCCGGAUUAUCACGUCUCCGCGCAGCGGGUGUAGUGAGCUAAAGCGCUUCAAGCAAUCAGACGUGGGAUUUCUGAUACUAUUAAGCAAACAACACUUCUUCGCCCCUCCCUUUGUAAACCCCCCAUUUACUGUACACGUUGCCUUUUAUUGUGUGCUCAUCCUUACUAAGAGCUUAAAAAUUAAUUAAAUCGCUUUUGUGGUUGCUUCAUUGUUGUGAUUAAAAUGGGUUUUACUGGAGUUAAUGACAGAAUGUGGCUCAGAUUACUUUAAAAGUAUUGCUAGGACAGUUGAAUACCUGUAGAAACACCAGUCUCUU